This 253-nucleotide ribosomal RNA is filed under the name uncultured bacterium. Its description in RNAcentral is "partial 16S ribosomal RNA". It matches the Rfam family "Bacterial small subunit ribosomal RNA", at positions 524 to 776 of the family's 1533-position model. The record is from RNAcentral.
UACGUAGGGGGCUAGCGUUGCUCGGAAUUACUGGGCGUAAAGGGCGCGUAGGCGGCUCUGUUAGUCAGGCGUGAAAGUCCUGGGCUCAACCUGGGAACUGCGCUUGAUACGGCAGGGUUAGAGGAUGGAAGAGGGUCGCGGAAUUCCCAGUGUAGAGGUGAAAUUCGUAGAUAUUGGGAAGAACACCGGUGGCGAAGGCGGCGACCUGGUCCAUUACUGACGCUGAGGCGCGACAGCGUGGGGAGCAAACAGG